GAUGAACGCUUGCGGCGUGCCUAAUACAUGCAAGUAGAACGCUGAAGGAAGGAGCUUGCUCUUUCCGGAUGAGUUGCGAACGGGUGAGUAACGCGUAGGUAACCUGCCUGGUAGCGGGGGAUAACUAUUGGAAACGAUAGCUAAUACCGCAUAACAGUAGAUGUUGCAUGAUAUCUACUUAAAAGGUGCAAUUGCACCACUACCAGAUGGACCUGCGUUGUAUUAGCUAGUUGGUGAGGUAACGGCUCACCAAGGCGACGAUACAUAGCCGACCUGAGAGGGUGAUCGGCCACACUGGGACUGAGACACGGCCCAGACUCCUACGGGAGGCAGCAGUAGGGAAUCUUCGGCAAGGGACGGAAGUCUGACCGAGCAACGCCGCGGGAGUGAAGAAGGGUUUCGGAUCGUAAAGCUCUGUUGUAAGAGAAGAACGAGUGUGAGAGUGGAAAGUUCACACUGUGACGGUAUCUUACCAGAAAGGGACGGCUAACUACGUG
Molecule: ribosomal RNA, 497 nt
Filed under: uncultured bacterium
Lineage: Bacteria
Description: partial 16S ribosomal RNA
Rfam family: Bacterial small subunit ribosomal RNA
Source: RNAcentral